GACGAACGCUGGCGGCGUGCCUAACACAUGCAAGUCGAGCGGGGUGGAGGCGAGAGGUAACUCAAGCUUCUACCUAGCGGCGGACGGGUGAGUAACGCGUGGGCAACCUGCCUCAAGGAUCGGGAUAACAGCUCGAAAGGGCUGCUAAUACCGGAUAUGCCUAUGGCCUCGCAUGGGGCUGUGGGCAAAGGGGAAACCCGCCUUGAGAUGGGCCCGCGUCCCAUCAGCUAGUUGGUGAGGUGAAGGCUCACCAAGGCGACGACGGGUAGCCGGCCUGAGAGGUGACCGGCCACACUGGGACUGAGACACGGCCCAGACUCCUACGGGGGGCAGCAGUGGGGGAUCUUGCACAAUGGGCGAAAGCCUGAUGCAGCGACGCCGCGUGAGCGAAGAAGGCCUUCGGGUUGUAAAGCUCUGUCUGGAGGGACGAGAAAGUGACGGUACCUCCGGAGGAAGCCACGGCUAACUACGUGCCAGCAGCCGCGGUAAAAUCACGUGUACG
Molecule: ribosomal RNA, 502 nt
Filed under: uncultured bacterium
Lineage: Bacteria
Description: bacterial SSU rRNA
Rfam family: Bacterial small subunit ribosomal RNA
Source: RNAcentral